GGGCAAGAGGGGGAGAGGAGACAUUUUAAAAGAAGAAGAACUUAAGUGCUUAAAAAAAAUAAUUGGUGGGAAGUAAAUAGGUAAAUAGGAAACAAAAGGUAGCAGAAGAAACCAAGAGUGCCUGAAAUUGGAAUCAGAAAGACACUAUAAUAAAAGAGAAGCACACAACGUGCAAGAACAAUGAGUAAUGAGAAGGAAGAGGGGGAUGAGGUAGAGGGACCCAGAGGCAAUGCUGAAGAAGCUGUGUGAGAAACACAGGGCAUACGGAAGUUCCAGGGCCAGGGACCAAACCAAACCAAGCAGUGACAAUGCAGAAUCCUUAACCAGGGAACUCCUCAUUUUGAAAAUAUUGAAUAAAACACAUCUUCCUCAUUUUUACUCCUUUAAAAAAAAAAGCUAAUUUUACCACUUAUUUUCUUUCUUCCUUUUCUUUCUUUCUUUUUUUUUUUUUUUUUUUAAUUAGGGCCACACCUACAGCAUACGGAAGUUCCCAGGCUAGGGGCUGAAUCAGAGCUACCACUACUGGCCUAUGCCACAACCACAGCAAUGCCAGAUCCAGGCUUUGUCUGUGACAUACACCACAGCACACAGCAACACCAGAUCCUUAACGCACUGAGCAAGGCCAGGCAUUGAACCCGCAUCCUCAUAGAUAAUAGUUGGGUUUGUUACAACUGAGCCACAGUGGGAACUCUCUACCACUUAUUUUCAAACCGAAAAUUUUGGAGUGAGCCCUGAUUCACUCCUUGUCCUCAUACCCACCCUCAAACCAUCAGUACUUGCUUAAAAAAAAAAAUCCAGAAUUAUUACUUUUAAUGUAAUUCAGAUCACAUCACUCUUCUGCUUAAAACAUUUCACUGACUUCAUUCCACUCGAAUUAGGGAAGGUCUGGACCCCCUUUACCUCUUGUGUACCUCACCUUACCCGGUCAUCCCCCACAACUUGCUCAUUACCUCCCAGCCUCCCUGGCUGCUUUUCCAUGGCUCAUUCUUCCAGCAGAGUUUUCACAUCUGCUGAUCUCUCAGCCUGUAACGGUGCCCUCUGUGCUCCUGGUACCUUGGAUGCCUUUUCUUCUAGGUCAGGACAGAGGUCACAUCUUCAGAAAGGUCUUUCCUGACCGUCCUCGCCAAAUGAGCCCUUCCCCCAGCUGUUUCCUAUCAGAUCACCUUUAAUUUCCCUCAAAGGAUCACACCUCUGAGAAAUGACCUUAUUUGUGGGUUUACUUUUCUCUGUCUGCCCCCUGCACUCCCUGCUUCUCUGGAAGCUCCCUGCAGCCUACUUCUUGUCCCCUCCCUCCAACAGACCCAGCCUUCAGAGCGAAUCCUGGCAUGGGAGUCUAUUCUGAGAUAGAACAGAGCAGAAAACACAUCAAGAAGUUACAUUAUCUUAUUUCUCUGCAGGGC
This 1400-nucleotide long non-coding RNA is filed under the name Sus scrofa (pig). RNAcentral's name for it is "lncRNA (ENSSSCG00040010602.1)". Lineage: Eukaryota; Metazoa; Chordata; Mammalia; Artiodactyla; Suidae. The record is from RNAcentral.